AGAGUGCAGCCAACUAUUUCAAUUGCCUAUAUAUAUAUAUAUAAAUAUAGGCAAUUGAAAUAGUUGGCUGCACACU
Non-coding RNA from Pelobates cultripes (western spadefoot toad), 76 nucleotides. NCBI's taxonomy places the organism in Eukaryota, Metazoa, Chordata, Amphibia, Anura, Pelobatidae. The record is from the annotation of a GenBank genome assembly.